RNAcentral lists this ribosomal RNA (902 nucleotides) under Scolecobasidium ellipsoideum. RNAcentral's name for it is "partial large subunit ribosomal RNA". It matches the Rfam family "Eukaryotic large subunit ribosomal RNA", at positions 42 to 960 of the family's 3401-position model. The record is from RNAcentral. Lineage: Eukaryota; Fungi; Ascomycota; Dothideomycetes; Venturiales; Sympoventuriaceae.
AACAAUAAGCGGAGGAAAAGAAACCAACCGGGAUUGCCCUAGUAACGGCGAGUGAAGCGGCAGCAGCUCAAAUUUGAAAUCUGGAGCCUUUGGCUUCCGAGUUGUAAUUUGCAGAGGGAGCCUCGGAGGGCGAGACGGUCCAAGUGCCUUGGAACAGGAUACCGCAGAGGGUGAGAGUCCCGUAUCCGGCCGAUCUUGCGCUCCGUGUGAGGCCCCUUCGACGAGUCGAGUUGUUUGGGAAUGCAGCUCCAAGCGGGUGGUAAAUUCCAUCUAAAGCUAAAUACUGGCCAGAGACCGAUAGCGAACAAGUAGAGUGAUCGAAAGAUGAAAAGCACUUUGAAAAGAGAGUCAAACAGUACGUGAAAUUGUUGAAAGGGAAGCGCAUGGGGGCAGACUUGGACGCGGGGUUCAGCGUUUCUAUUGGAGCGUGUACUUCCCCGCGUGCAGGCCAGCAUCGGUUCCGGGGGCCGGACAAAGAGGUUGGGAAUGUGGCUCCCCUCGGGGAGUGUUAUAGCCCGGCGUGCAAUGCGGCCACCUGGGACCGAGGACCGCGCCUUGUGCAAGGAUGCUGGCGUAAUGGCCUCAUGCGGCCCGUCUUGAAACACGGACCAAGGAGUCUAACAUCUAUGCGAGUGUUUGGGUGGCAAGCCCGGACGCGCAAUGAAAGUGAACGGAGGUGGGAGUCUGUUACAGGACGCACCAUCGACCGAUCCGGACGUCUUCUGAAGGAUUUGAGUAAGAGCAUAGCUGUUGGGACCCGAAAGAUGGUGAACUAUGCGUGAAUAGGGUGAAGCCAGAGGAAACUCUGGUGGAGGCUCGCAGCGGUUCUGACGUGCAAAUCGAUCGUCAAAUUUGCGUAUAGGGGCGAAAGACUAAUCGAACCAUCUAGUAGCUGGUCCUGC